GACAGAGGGUGCGAGCGUUGUUCGGAAUUACUGGGCGUAAAGCGCGCGCAGGCGGAUCCUGCAAGUCGGAAGUGAAAUGUGGCUGCUCAACGGCCACGCUGCUUCCGAUACUGCGGAUCUGGGGACCGGUAGAGGCUGGUGGAAUUGCAGGUGUAGCGGUGGAAUGCGUAGAGAUCUGCAAGAACACCCGUGGCGAAGGCGGCCAGCUGGGCCGGAUCCGACGCUGAGGCGCGAAAGCGUGGGGAGCAAA
Molecule: ribosomal RNA, 250 nt
Filed under: uncultured bacterium
Lineage: Bacteria
Description: partial 16S ribosomal RNA
Rfam family: Bacterial small subunit ribosomal RNA
Source: RNAcentral